UACGUAGGGUGCUAGCGUUGUUCGGAAUCAUUGGGCGUAAAGCGCGUGUAGGUGGUUAACUAAGUCAGAUGUGAAAUCCCUAGGCUCAACCAAGGAAGUGCAUUUGAAACUGGUUAACUAGAAGAUGGUAGAGGAAGGUGGAAUUCCAGGUGUAGAGGUGAAAUUCGUAGAUAUCUGGAGGAAUACCGGUGGCGAAGGCGGCCUUCUGGACCAUCCUUGACACUAAGACGCGAAAGCGCGGGUAGCAAACAGG
Molecule: ribosomal RNA, 253 nt
Filed under: uncultured bacterium
Lineage: Bacteria
Description: partial 16S ribosomal RNA
Rfam family: Bacterial small subunit ribosomal RNA
Source: RNAcentral